Molecule: ribosomal RNA, 432 nt
Filed under: uncultured bacterium
Lineage: Bacteria
Description: bacterial SSU rRNA
Rfam family: Bacterial small subunit ribosomal RNA
Source: RNAcentral
GAGUUUGAUCAUGGCUCAGGACGAACGCUGGCGGCGUGCCUAACACAUGCAAGUCGAGCGAGGAGGCCCCUUCGGGGGUGGAAUAGCGGCGGACGGGUGAGUAACACGUGGGUAACCUGCCUCAAAGAGGGGGAUAGCCUCCCGAAAGGGAGAUUAAUACCGCAUAGAAGGUAAAAAUCGCAUGAUAAAUGCCUUAAAGGAGCAAUCCGCUUUGAGAUGGGCCCGCGUCGCAUUAGCUAGUUGGAGGGAUAAAAGCCCCCCAAGGCGACGAUGCGUAGCCGACCUGAGAGGGUGAACGGCCACAUUGGAACUGAGAUACGGUCCAGACUCCUACGGGAGGCAGCAGUGGGGAAUAUUGCACAAUGGGGGAAACCCUGAUGCAGCAACGCCGCGUGAGUGAAGAAGGUUUUCGGAUCGUAAAGCUCUGUCAUA